Molecule: transfer RNA, 82 nt
Filed under: Planctomyces sp. SH-PL14
Lineage: Bacteria; Pseudomonadati; Planctomycetota; Planctomycetia; Planctomycetales; Planctomycetaceae
Description: tRNA-Lys
Source: RNAcentral
CCGGCUGUGGGUCACGCAGACCAGGAUCGCCUGUUCUUCGCGGGCGACCUCCAGAAGCAGCGUUCCGACCGCCGCGGCCGUC